RNAcentral lists this ribosomal RNA (1618 nucleotides) under Escherichia coli. RNAcentral describes it as "bacterial LSU rRNA". It matches the Rfam family "Bacterial large subunit ribosomal RNA", at positions 1327 to 2925 of the family's 2925-position model. Lineage: Bacteria; Pseudomonadati; Pseudomonadota; Gammaproteobacteria; Enterobacterales; Enterobacteriaceae. The record is from RNAcentral.
AGCCCGCUCGCCGGAAGACCAAGGGUUCCUGUCCAACGUUAAUCGGGGCAGGGUGAGUCGACCCCUAAGGCGAGGCCGAAAGGCGUAGUCGAUGGGAAACAGGUUAAUAUUCCUGUACUUGGUGUUACUGCGAAGGGGGGACGGAGAAGGCUAUGUUGGCCGGGCGACGGUUGUCCCGGUUUAAGCGUGUAGGCUGGUUUUCCAGGCAAAUCCGGAAAAUCAAGGCUGAGGCGUGAUGACGAGGCACUACGGUGCUGAAGCAACAAAUGCCCUGCUUCCAGGAAAAGCCUCUAAGCAUCAGGUAACAUCAAAUCGUACCCCAAACCGACACAGGUGGUCAGGUAGAGAAUACCAAGGCGCUUGAGAGAACUCGGGUGAAGGAACUAGGCAAAAUGGUGCCGUAACUUCGGGAGAAGGCACGCUGAUAUGUAGGUGAAGUCCCUCGCGGAUGGAGCUGAAAUCAGUCGAAGAUACCAGCUGGCUGCAACUGUUUAUUAAAAACACAGCACUGUGCAAACACGAAAGUGGACGUAUACGGUGUGACGCCUGCCCGGUGCCGGAAGGUUAAUUGAUGGGGUUAGCGGUAACGCGAAGCUCUUGAUCGAAGCCCCGGUAAACGGCGGCCGUAACUAUAACGGUCCUAAGGUAGCGAAAUUCCUUGUCGGGUAAGUUCCGACCUGCACGAAUGGCGUAAUGAUGGCCAGGCUGUCUCCACCCGAGACUCAGUGAAAUUGAACUCGCUGUGAAGAUGCAGUGUACCCGCGGCAAGACGGAAAGACCCCGUGAACCUUUACUAUAGCUUGACACUGAACAUUGAGCCUUGAUGUGUAGGAUAGGUGGGAGGCUUUGAAGUGUGGACGCCAGUCUGCAUGGAGCCGGCCUUGAAAUACCACCCUUUAAUGUUUGAUGUUCUAACGUUGGCCCCUGACCGGGGUUGCGGACAGUGUCUGGUGGGUAGUUUGACUGGGGCGGUCUCCUCCUAAAGAGUAACGGAGGAGCACGAAGGUUGGCUAAUCCUGGUCGGACAUCAGGAGGUUAGUGCAAUGGCAUAAGCCAGCUUGACUGCGAGCGUGACGGCGCGAGCAGGUGCGAAAGCAGGUCAUAGUGAUCCGGUGGUUCUGAAUGGAAGGGCCAUCGCUCAACGGAUAAAAGGUACUCCGGGGAUAACAGGCUGAUACCGCCCAAGAGUUCAUAUCGACGGCGGUGUUUGGCACCUCGAUGUCGGCUCAUCACAUCCUGGGGCUGAAGUAGGUCCCAAGGGUAUGGCUGUUCGCCAUUUAAAGUGGUACGCGAGCUGGGUUUAGAACGUCGUGAGACAGUUCGGUCCCUAUCUGCCGUGGGCGCUGGAGAACUGAGGGGGGCUGCUCCUAGUACGAGAGGACCGGAGUGGACGCAUCACUGGUGUUCGGGUUGUCAUGCCAAUGGCACUGCCCGGUAGCUAAAUGCGGAAGAGAUAAGUGCUGAAAGCAUCUAAGCACGAAACUUGCCCCGAGAUGAGUUCUCCCUGACUCCUUGAGAGUCCUGAAGGAACGUUGAAGACGACGACGUUGAUAGGCCGGGUGUGUAAGCGCAGCGAUGCGUUGAGCUAACCGGUACUAAUGAACCGUGAGGCUUAACC